RNAcentral lists this ribosomal RNA (854 nucleotides) under Kocuria palustris. Its description in RNAcentral is "bacterial SSU rRNA". It matches the Rfam family "Bacterial small subunit ribosomal RNA", at positions 64 to 925 of the family's 1533-position model. Lineage: Bacteria; Bacillati; Actinomycetota; Actinomycetes; Micrococcales; Micrococcaceae. The record is from RNAcentral.
GAACGCUGAAGCACCAGCUUGCUGGUGUGGAUGAGUGGCGAACGGGUGAGUAAUACGUGAGUAACCUGCCCUUGACUCUGGGAUAAGCCCGGGAAACUGGGUCUAAUACUGGAUGCUACAUGUCACCGCAUGGUGGUGUGUGGAAAGGGUUUACUGGUCUUGGAUGGGCUCACGGCCUAUCAGCUUGUUGGUGAGGUAAUGGCUCACCAAGGCGACGACGGGUAGCCGGCCUGAGAGGGUGACCGGCCACACUGGGACUGAGACACGGCCCAGACUCCUACGGGAGGCAGCAGUGGGGAAUAUUGCACAAUGGGCGAAAGCCUGAUGCAGCGACGCCGCGUGAGGGAUGACGGCCUUCGGGUUGUAAACCUCUUUCAGCAGGGAAGAAGCCACAAGUGACGGUACCUGCAGAAGAAGCGCCGGCUAACUACGUGCCAGCAGCCGCGGUAAUACGUAGGGCGCAAGCGUUGUCCGGAAUUAUUGGGCGUAAAGAGCUCGUAGGCGGUUUGUCGCGUCUGCUGUGAAAGCCCGGGGCUUAACCCCGGGUGUGCAGUGGGUACGGGCAGACUAGAGUGCAGUAGGGGAGACUGGAAUUCCUGGUGUAGCGGUGGAAUGCGCAGAUAUCAGGAGGAACACCGAUGGCGAAGGCAGGUCUCUGGGCUGUUACUGACGCUGAGGAGCGAAAGCAUGGGGAGCGAACAGGAUUAGAUACCCUGGUAGUCCAUGCCGUAAACGUUGGGCACUAGGUGUGGGGGACAUUCCACGUUUUCCGCGCCGUAGCUAACGCAUUAAGUGCCCCGCCUGGGGAGUACGGCCGCAAGGCUAAAACUCAAAGGAAUUGACGGGGGCCCGCA